AGCUGGUCCUGGUGCAGUGGUGUUUACAACUGAUUGAUCACCGCCAGUUAGUUACAGAUUCCUUUGUUCUCUCUCCUCUCCCUCUGCUUCACUUGACUAGCCUUAA
Otolemur garnettii (small-eared galago) is the source of this 106-nucleotide unclassified non-coding RNA. It matches the Rfam family "Y RNA". Rfam says of the family: Y RNAs are components of the Ro ribonucleoprotein particle (Ro RNP), in association with Ro60 and La proteins. The Y RNAs and Ro60 and La proteins are well conserved, but the function of the Ro RNP is not known. Lineage: Eukaryota; Metazoa; Chordata; Mammalia; Primates; Galagidae. The record is from Ensembl.